CAGCAGCCACGGGAAUACAGAGGGUGCGAGCGUUAAUCGGAUUUACUGGGCGUAAAGCGUGCGUAGGCGGCUUCUUAAGUCGGAUGUGAAAUCCCUGAGCUUAACUUAGGAAUUGCAUUCGAUACUGGGAAGCUAGAGUAUGGGAGAGGAUGGUAGAAUUCCAGGUGUAGCGGUGAAAUGCGUAGAGAUCUGGAGGAAUACCGAUGGCGAAGGCAGCCAUCUGGCCUAAUACUGACGCUGAGGUACGAAAGCAUGGGGAGCAAACAGGAUUAGAUACCCGCGUAGUCCCUGUCUCUUAUCA
RNAcentral lists this ribosomal RNA (301 nucleotides) under uncultured bacterium. RNAcentral describes it as "partial 16S ribosomal RNA". It matches the Rfam family "Bacterial small subunit ribosomal RNA", at positions 509 to 809 of the family's 1533-position model. The record is from RNAcentral.